CCUACGGAUGGCAGCAGUGGGGAAUAUUGGACAAUGGGCGAAAGCCUGAUCCAGCCAUGCCGCGUGUGUGAAGAAGGCCUUCGGGUUGUAAAGCACUUUCAGUGGGGAAGAAAGCCUUGGGGCUAAUACCCUCGAGGAAGGACAUCACCCACAGAAGAAGCACCGGCUAACUCCGUGCCAGCAGCCGCGGUAAUACGGAGGGUGCGAGCGUUAAUCGGAAUUACUGGGCGUAAAGCGCGCGUAGGCGGUCUGAUAAGCCGGUUGUGAAAGCCCCGGGCUCAACCUGGGAACGGCAUCCGGAACUGUCAGGCUAGAGUGCAGGAGAGGAAGGUAGAAUUCCCGGUGUAGCGGUGAAAUGCGUAGAGAUCGGGAGGAAUACCAGUGGCGAAGGCGGCCUUCUGGACUGACACUGACGCUGAGGUGCGAAAGCGUGGGUAGCAAACAGGAUUAGAUACCCCGGUAGUC
This 465-nucleotide ribosomal RNA is filed under the name Vreelandella stevensii. Its description in RNAcentral is "partial 16S ribosomal RNA". It matches the Rfam family "Bacterial small subunit ribosomal RNA", at positions 338 to 795 of the family's 1533-position model. Lineage: Bacteria; Pseudomonadati; Pseudomonadota; Gammaproteobacteria; Oceanospirillales; Halomonadaceae. The record is from RNAcentral.